RNAcentral lists this ribosomal RNA (468 nucleotides) under uncultured bacterium. Its description in RNAcentral is "partial 16S ribosomal RNA". It matches the Rfam family "Bacterial small subunit ribosomal RNA", at positions 28 to 507 of the family's 1533-position model. The record is from RNAcentral.
GACGAACGCUGGCGGCGUGCUUAACACAUGCAAGUCGAACGGAAAGGCCCUGCUUUUGUGGGGUGCUCGAGUGGCGAACGGGUGAGUAACACGUGAGUAACCUGCCCUUGACUUUGGGAUAACUUCAGGAAACUGGGGCUAAUACCGGAUAGGAGCUCCUGCUGCAUGGUGGGGGUUGGAAAGUUUUGGCGGUUGGGGAUGGACUCGCGGCUUAUCAGCUUGUUGGUGGGGUAGUGGCUUACCAAGGCUUUGACGGGUAGCCGGCCUGAGAGGGUGACCGGCCACAUUGGGACUGAGAUACGGCCCAGACUCCUACGGGAGGCAGCAGUGGGGAAUAUUGCACAAUGGGCGGAAGCCUGAUGCAGCAACGCCGCGUGCGGGAUGACGGCCUUCGGGUUGUAAACCGCUUUCGCCUGUGACGAAGCGUGAGUGACGGUAAUGGGUAAAGAAGCACCGGCCAACUACGUG